Molecule: ribosomal RNA, 497 nt
Filed under: uncultured bacterium
Lineage: Bacteria
Description: partial 16S ribosomal RNA
Rfam family: Bacterial small subunit ribosomal RNA
Source: RNAcentral
GAUGAACGCUGGCGGCGUGCCUAAUACAUGCAAGUCGAGCGAACAGACGAGGAGCUUGCUCCUCUGACGUUAGCGGCGGACGGGUGAGUAACACGGGGAUAACCUACCUAUAAGACUGGGAUAACUUCGGGAAACCGGAGCUAAUACCGGAUAAUAUAUUGAACCGCAUGGUUCAAUAGUGAAAGACGGUUUUGCUGUCACUUAUAGAUGGAUCCGCGCCGCAUUAGCUAGUUGGUAAGGUAACGGCUUACCAAGGCGACGAUGCGUAGCCGACCUGAGAGGGUGAUCGGCCACACUGGAACUGAGACACGGUCCAGACUCCUACGGGAGGCAGCAGUAGGGAAUCUUCCGCAAAGGGCGAAAGCUUGACGGAGCAACGCCGCGUGAGUGAUGAAGGUCUUCGGAUCGUAAAACUCUGUUAUUAGGGAAGAACAAAUGUGUAAGUAACUAUGCACGUCUUGACGGUACCUAAUCAGAAAGCCACGGCUAACUACGUG